Molecule: ribosomal RNA, 347 nt
Filed under: Carinozetes mangrovi
Lineage: Eukaryota; Metazoa; Arthropoda; Arachnida; Sarcoptiformes; Selenoribatidae
Description: partial large subunit ribosomal RNA
Rfam family: Eukaryotic large subunit ribosomal RNA
Source: RNAcentral
AAACACGGACCAAGGAGUCUAACAUGUGCGCGAGUCACUCGGUCUUGAUUAGGCCAGGGAGGCGCAAUGAAGGUAAACUAUAGUUUUCGCAAGAAAACUUUGUUACGAUCCUAACAAUUCAGUUGCAAUUUUGUAACUGUUGUUUGGCGCAGUAACGGCCUGCCAAUUUCGCCUAUUGACGAUCUGGCAGAGUUAUAGCGUACACGUUGGUACCCGAAAGAUGGUGAACUAUGCCUGGGCAAGACGAAGCCAGAGGAAACUCUGGUGGAGGUCUGUAGCGAUUCUGACGUGCAAAUCGAUCGUCCGACCUGGGUAUAGGGGCGAAAGACUAAUCGAACCAUCUAGUA